UCGAGAAUCUUUCACAAUGGGCGAAAGCCUGAUGGAGCGACGCCGCGUGGAGGAUGAAGGCCUUCGGGUUGUAAACUCCUGUCAUGAGGGAACAAGAAAGUGAUAGUACCUCAAGAGGAAGAGACGGCUAACUCUGUGCCAGCAGCCGCGGUAAUACAGAGGUCUCAAGCGUUGUUCGGAUUUACUGGGCGUAAAGGGUGCGUAGGCGGUGGCGUAAGUCGAGUGUGAAAUCUUCCGGCCUAACCGGAAAACUGCACUCGAUACUGCGUCAUUAGAGGACUGUAGAGGAGACUGGAAUUCACGGUGUAGCAGUGAAAUGCGUAGAUAUCGUGAGGAAGACCGGUGGCGAAAGCGAGUCUCUGGGCAGUUCCUGACGCUGAGGCACGAAGGCUAGGGGAGCAAACGGGAUUAGAUACCCAGGUAGUCCCUGAGCGGGCUGGCAAGGCGCAU
RNAcentral lists this ribosomal RNA (450 nucleotides) under uncultured bacterium. RNAcentral's name for it is "bacterial SSU rRNA". It matches the Rfam family "Bacterial small subunit ribosomal RNA", at positions 355 to 825 of the family's 1533-position model. The record is from RNAcentral.